GUGUCAGCCGCCGCGGUAAUACGUAGGGUCCAAGCGUUAAUCGGAAUUACUGGGCGUAAAGCGUGCGCAGGCGGUUUUGCAAGUCCGAUGUGAAAUCCCCGAGCUCAACUUGGGAAUUGCAUUUGUUACUGCCCGGCUAGAGUGUGUCAGAGGGGGGUAGAAUUCCACGUGUAGCAGUGAAAUGCGUAGAGAUGUGGAGGAAUACCGAUGGCGAAGGCAGCCCCCUGGGAUAACACUGACGCUCAUGCACGAAAGCGUGGGGAGCAAACAGGAUUAGAAACCCCAGUAGUCC
This 292-nucleotide ribosomal RNA is filed under the name uncultured Ralstonia sp. RNAcentral's name for it is "partial 16S ribosomal RNA". It matches the Rfam family "Bacterial small subunit ribosomal RNA", at positions 505 to 796 of the family's 1533-position model. The record is from RNAcentral. Lineage: Bacteria; Pseudomonadati; Pseudomonadota; Betaproteobacteria; Burkholderiales; Burkholderiaceae.